Molecule: ribosomal RNA, 442 nt
Filed under: uncultured bacterium
Lineage: Bacteria
Description: partial 16S ribosomal RNA
Rfam family: Bacterial small subunit ribosomal RNA
Source: RNAcentral
CCUACGGGUGACAGCAGUGGGGAAUAUUGGGCAAUGGGCGCAAGCCUGACCCAGCAACGCCGCGUGAAGGAAGAAGGCUUUCGGGUUUUAAACUUCUUUUAAGAAGGAAGAGCAGAAGACGGUACCUCUUGAAUAAGCCACGGCUAACUACGUGCCAGCAGCCGCGUUAAUACGUAGGUGGCAAGCGUUGUCCGGAUUUACUGGGUGUAAAGCGUGCGUAGGCUGUUUCGUAAGUCGUGUGUGAAUGGCGCGGGCUCAACCCGCGGACGGCACAUGAUACUGCGAGACGAGAGUAAUGGAGGGGGAACCGGAAUUCCUGGUGUAGCGGUGAAAUGCGUAGAUAUCAGGAGGAACACCGGUGGCGAAGGCGGCCUGCUGGACUGCAACUGACGUUGAGGCCCGAAAGCGUGGGGAGCAAACAGGAUUAGAGACCCUUGUAGUC